UAUGUGAUCGUCUCUCGCAUAUCAAUAAGCGGAGGAAAAGAAACUAACAAGGAUUCCCCUAGUAACGGCGAGUGAAGCGGGAAGAGCUCAAAUUUGAAAUCUUAAAGGGUUUCCCUUUACGAAUUGUAGUUUAAAGAAGUGUUUUCUGUUGAGGUUUUGGUAAAAGUUCUUUGGAAUAGGACAUCAUAGAGGGUGAGAAUCCCGUAUUUGACCUUUACUUUCAACUUUGUGAUACACUUUCAAAGAGUCGAAUUGUUUGGGAAUGCAGUCCAAAAUGGGUGGUAAAUUUCAUCUAAAGCUAAAUAUUGGCGAGAGACCGAUAGCGAACAAGUACCGUGAGGGAAAGAUGAAAAGAACUUUGAAAAGAGAGUUAAACAGUACGUGAAAUUGUCAAAAGGGAAGCGUUUGACACCAGUGUUGUUUUUCUGAAAAUCAAUUAAAGAACUGUUUAUGCUAAGUUGUUUAGACUUUAUCAGCUAACUGUUUAGUUUUGAGCUUUUCUUUAAUGCACUUUUCAGUUAACAAGUCAGCAUCAAUUUCUUUUGCUGUAAAAAAGCUUGAGGAAGGUGGCUUGAGAUUCGUCUUAAGUGUUUAUAGCCUCUUGCCUAUGCAGUCGGAGAGAUUGAGGUCUGCAGCGUAGAUCCUUCGGGGCUAAAUGCAUUUGUGCUAAGUUAUAGCAUUUUAUAGACAACUUGUUGACUAUGAUUUGUCUUGUAGCUUACUCGCUUAUGUUAUUUUACCUACGCUUAGGAUGUUGAGUAGCGACAUACGCAC
This 774-nucleotide ribosomal RNA is filed under the name uncultured Neocallimastigales. RNAcentral's name for it is "partial large subunit ribosomal RNA". It matches the Rfam family "Eukaryotic large subunit ribosomal RNA", at positions 24 to 649 of the family's 3401-position model. The record is from RNAcentral. Lineage: Eukaryota; Fungi; Neocallimastigomycota; Neocallimastigomycetes; Neocallimastigales.